CAUUGUUUGGUUUUUAAAGAACAAAUUACACUUUGGGUCCUGUGAGUAUUAGGGUACUGGCAAUUUGAGUAC
Long non-coding RNA from Ipomoea nil (Japanese morning glory), 72 nucleotides. RefSeq lists it as uncharacterized. The transcript is spliced from 3 exons. The record is from RefSeq and is a predicted model, not a curated record. Lineage: Eukaryota; Viridiplantae; Streptophyta; Magnoliopsida; Solanales; Convolvulaceae.